UGGGUCAUCUGGUCGAGGUCGGUGACGGCGCCGUUGACCGCGCCGAGGCCGAUGCUCUGCUCGUUGGUGGCCGAGC
Molecule: transfer RNA, 76 nt
Filed under: Rhizobacter gummiphilus
Lineage: Bacteria; Pseudomonadati; Pseudomonadota; Betaproteobacteria; Burkholderiales; Sphaerotilaceae
Description: tRNA-Val
Source: RNAcentral